GCAUCCUUAGCUCAGUUGGUAGAGCAUCUGACUCUUAAUCAGCAGGUCGCGGGUUCGAGUCCCGCAGGAUGCA
This 73-nucleotide transfer RNA is filed under the name Ignavibacteriota bacterium. Its description in RNAcentral is "tRNA-Lys". It matches the Rfam family "tRNA". From Rfam's summary of the family: Transfer RNA (tRNA) molecules are approximately 80 nucleotides in length. Their secondary structure includes four short double-helical elements and three loops (D, anti-codon, and T loops). Further hydrogen bonds mediate the characteristic L-shaped molecular structure. tRNAs have two regions of fundamental functional importance: the anti-codon, which is responsible for specific mRNA codon recognition, and the 3' end, to which the tRNAs corresponding amino acid is attached (by aminoacyl-tRNA synthetases). tRNAs cope with the degeneracy of the genetic code in two manners: having more than one tRNA (with a specific anti-codon) for a particular amino acid; and 'wobble' base-pairing, i.e. permitting non-standard base-pairing at the 3rd anti-codon position. RNAcentral also lists the same sequence under 3 other names. The record is from RNAcentral. Lineage: Bacteria; Pseudomonadati; Ignavibacteriota.